UAGAUGACCAUGUUUCUUAUCUGUUCAGA
Molecule: non-coding RNA, 29 nt
Filed under: Mus musculus (house mouse)
Lineage: Eukaryota; Metazoa; Chordata; Mammalia; Rodentia; Muridae
Source: RNAcentral